Non-coding RNA from Massarina eburnea CBS 473.64, 89 nucleotides. NCBI's taxonomy places the organism in Eukaryota, Fungi, Ascomycota, Dothideomycetes, Pleosporales, Massarinaceae. The record is from the annotation of a GenBank genome assembly.
GGUUGUGUAGUGUAGUGGUGAUCACUCCGGAUUUUGAUUGUACUAUCAAAACCUUUCCGGCAACCCCGGUUCGAGCCCGGGCACGACCU